GUGGAUGGGUGGGUGCUUCGGGAGGGAGGGAGGGAGGGGGGAUGGAGAGAACAAGAGGACAAAGGGUGAAAGAGGAGAAUCCGACGACUUUGGUGUAGGUGGGGAGGGGACUUUGUUUUAGAGUGAGGGUGUGAGGUUGAGGGAAGGAAAAGUAACAAUUAAAAAAAGAAAAAAAAAAGAAAAAAAAAGGAAAGAAAAACUAGACGCGAAAUAAUAAGACUGAUAAUGAGAGAAAAAAAAUUGCAAAAAAAAUAGAAAAAAAAAGGAAAAAAAAAAAAAAAGAAAAAAGAGAGAAUCACCGUAAACGCGCUCGACCAAACGUAGAUCAACGAGGAGAGGGCUCCGCCCAGCCGUGGCGACGCGCGAUACGUACGAAACGAUUUUAUUAUACGAUCGUACGACGUCGAGCAAGUACGACGAGAAAUAAAAAGAAAAAGAAGAAGAAAAAAAAGAAAAAAGAACCGACGACAACGACGACGAUGACGAUGUCGACGACGAGAUCGACGACGACGAGGACGAGGUUCACGACGACGUGGACGAGGUCGUCGACGACGAGGACGACGACGACGACGACGACGUCACGACUUAAGAUUUUAAUCCUGACGAUAACGAAAUACGAGACGCAAAACCCAAACGAUACGUUCUUACGGGGCAGCGCAUAAUGCGCGCAGAGUCCCGUCCGUCUCUGAACGAACGGACGUAUACGCGCACCAGCGCGCACUAGCGAGCGCAACACUGCUGACCAGAAGAGAGGAGGACUCCGUAAAAGCAGCAACUUCGUACCCAGACAACACUAAUCACUGCGUGCGGAUGUAUGCCGGCCAUAUAGAUCCACCGAACUGCCCUACGAGCAACGGGAACUAUAUAGCAAGCAGGAAAUGUGAUGACGCAGCUUCAAUAGAGAGCAAAAUAGGGAGCAACGGAAAUCGUGAAAAAAAAAAGAAGAAGAAAAAAAAAAAAAGAAAAAGUACGAGACCAUCUUACCUAGCGUUGCUUCCGCGAAAAAUUAGCAUGAUUUCGAAGUAUAAUGAAUGAUUAAUCAUAACGAUAACGAAUAUAGGUCAUUACGUACAAGUUAAUAAUUACGUUACCUACCCACCUACCCGUUAUGUAUCGUACAGAAUGAUUAAUUACGAACGUAUAAGAUAUUGGAAGAAAAAAAUGGAAGAAGAAAAAAAAUACAAAGAGAAAAAAAGAAAAAGAAAGAAAGAAGAAGAAAAAUUUCUUACCAAACAAUUGUCCGACGUGCAGGUACGAGUGCUCCGUAUUUCUUGCAAGCUUCCCCAUGGACGUGGUUUGUCGUUUUUAUUGCCGUACGAGUGUAAAUACGAUGACGAAUGUUCCGACGUAGGAUUCAAAUCCUCCAAGCUAUGAACCAACGAUUUCGACAUGCCGCAAUAGACCUUUGGACUUAAUUUGUCGCAGGCGGUAAUUCGCGUUAAAAUUUGCGAUUGGUUGGACAAAUUUUCCGACGUAUCGAUAACUUCGUCCGUUCGUUCGUGAAGCAUCGCGGUGGUACAGGCAGAUGAGAGAGAACCAACGGACGAACUACCGAACCCCUGCAUGACCACAGGAGCAGAUGGUCCCGGACAGGUGGUGGCAUCCCCACUCCUCCAUGAAUUUUUCCCUUCUGAAACGAUCGAACGAUUUCCUACCACUACUGCAGACGAACUCGUUCCAUCGCGUGGAUUGUCAAAAUUCACUGAAACUUUUUCGUUAUUUAUCCCCGUUGUAGGUUCAUACGACGAUGAUAUCCCGUUUCCCUUCGACGUACCCGAUCUUAUUAUAUUCUCCCAUCUUGAAUCUGAUAUUGCCCGUACUGUGAGCCUAGAACCUGCAGUUUCGUUAAAUGUUCCUCUGUUAGGAGGCAUUAUAAGACCCUGGAAAUAAGGGAAACGUAUUUAUUUAUUUUUUUUUUUUUUUUCAAAUUUUUAUCACGUUCUAUGACAAGAUUAAGUCUGAUAAAUGAUUAAAGCGCAAAAAGUAAAUACUAUACUCUCUGCAAAAUGGAGCGUUGUCUGGAAUGGGAAAAGUCUGCAUUUCUUUCCGAACGUGAACGAUAGUCGUCUUUGAAACCUAUACCGGAAUCGCUAUUGCUUGAAUGAGCCGUCGACGUGCUAACGUUGCUAGGCUGAGGCGAAGCAGCAUCCUGACGUCUUCGUGCCUCGUUGUAGAUAGGAUUGGCAUCGCCAUUUGUAGUAUCGGAUAUGUAUAAGGUUUGUAUGGCUCCUAUUAAACUGUUGCAGCUAUCAGGAAAUUCUUGGCACAUGUUAAGUUCCGAGGUUUUCGUACAUGUAAAUCCAAAUACGUUACAAGUACUAGAGUGUAUCGCAUGAUCAAUCAGCUUAUAAUAUAUAGUGAACACAUGACACGAGUUCGAAACUAUGUCAUCCUUGUCUUUGACCGACUUUGUUAAUAUUCCAAAAUACUGUUUAUCUUCUUCAGAAAAAGAAUUACAAAAUAUUAUUCUAUAGGAUGGAUACUCAGCGAUAACAAGAUUUUCUGAAUUAGUAAGUUUUAUGUUUGCCACGUGUAUCGUUAAAAGUACUGUUGUCGGAUUUCGUUUCUCUGCCUUUAACCUUUUGAUGCAUUUCCGUAGAACCUAAAAGUAUUAAGAAAAAUGUUAUAUCAAUUGAUAUUAUAAAAGUUCAUACCAAAUCAUGUUCAUGUUCAUAUUUAAUCUGAGGCAUCUACCUGCAUCAUAGAAGACGGAUGCAAUUGAUUAGGAAUAUCAAUAGUGCCCAAAUAACCGACCACAGUUCUAUGUACAAUUUUUUCAGAAUCUCGUUUAUGCGACGUAGGUGGAGGUGGCGGAGGAAGAGGAUUACUCAUGUUCCAACGAUGAUGAAGGUGACUGCAAUGUAUUUUACUUUGUUGCACUGCUCUCCCAGUUGUAUCGAACAUGGCACCGCUUUGUAAAUCCCUAACGACUUUAGCAACUCUACAUUGUAACUGUAUAGCAUUUGUAUUGUUAGCACGUGGCUUAUGUGCAUAUUUCGGCUUGGACCUAACGGUAGCAAAACCUUCUUCGUCCGACGAAUCGGAAUAAUAAUUUUCAGCUAUCUGUAAUCUUAGGACACCUUGGGAGUGUCCUAUUAGCUGCACCACGUCGUCGUGUGGAACUUUACUAACAUUGUGACCAUUAACAGCCACCAAAUAAUCUCCUGCUCGUAGCCCAGCAUUUUCAGCAGGACUUCCUUGUACAAUGCAACUUAAUAUACAAGGCUGUUGUCCAGAUAUAGUAAAACCAUAUCCCUUUGUUCCACGAACCACUUCCACAGCUCGUACACCAUAAUUUACUCUCUUCUUUUUCCUUCUGUUGUGGUGCAUCCUUGUAUUUGUAUUUCAAAAUACCACACGCUCAAAUAUCUUCAUUCUUUCUCAAAUGAUUAUCUCGAUGGACCAACAUUCUUCUUAUAAUGCAAAAUUAACAAUUUCAAUUGAAUUAUUGAAAGAAUAUCAAUUUGUAAUAUUUACUUGACAGCUUGACUUGCCCGUUUAUUCAGAGUGAAAAAUAUUACCGAACAUGUGAAUAGAAAUUUUUUAUUAUAUUGCACAGAACUAACGACGAUCUUAACGAUAAAACUAUAAACGUAUAAAUAUACCGCAUAAGAUUUUUAUAUCCAGUCUCACAUCGAAAUUAAAGUUAUAAGUCAUAGAAGUCUAGCGGUUGACGGUAACAUGGAGUGUUUUGGAACUCCAUGUCUUCCAUAUUUACAUUCCUAUGUUCAUGCAAUUUAUCUGAUGUAAGACAUAUUUCACAAAUUUUAAUAUAACAUUAUAAUUGUUUAUACGAAAUACGUAAAAUUAUAUCUCUCCAUGAUCAGGAAAAGAUCUUGUAAAAAUGGUUAUACAUUUUAACGAAGAUUAAUAAGAAUUGGACAAUUCACCACUCAACGGGGUUAAGUUAGUAAAUUAAAGCGUACCAACCUAUCAAAUUAUUCCCAUAUAUUUAUAUGUUCGUAUAGUGCCAUGAAUAAUAUUCAAAUUGGAUAAUACGUUUCUUAAGAAAUCUUUCGAAGCUUUCAAAUUAUAAAAUCGUCAUGUUCUUUUCUUAUUCUUAAGCGAUAAUAAUAUACGGCGUACAAACCUAAUCAUUUCAAAUUUAAAACGUAUAGAUAUUUUGAAAAUACUUAUAUAUUGCCAAGUGGUUAAAGAAAAAGGUUUACAAAAAAUGGUGAAUGUAAGUAACCUAUACCAUAAGACGCAAAAUUGAUAGUUAAUGAACAUUUACCUAUUAAAAAUAUCUUGUAAACUCUCAUGGAAUAUAGAUUAUAAAUUGAUGGGUAAUAAAAAGUUUCUAUUUAAAUAAUAUUACAUUUUGAAAAUUCUCUCCAUUCAUCGAUAUAUCUAUGUAAUAUUUUAAAUUAGAAUUUCGCGCCAAAACAACCAUGCGCCAUCUGACGUGACAAUUUUGUAACAAUAAGAUCAGCGCCCACUAUACCGACCGAGAUGAAAUAAUAAGAAGGACUACCUCCCCUAUUAUCAUGUGUUCCUAUUCAAAUUUCGAACGUUUUAGCGACAAUAUGGCGAUCAAUAUAUACGUCGUGUCAUGUGCGUGUGCGUGUGCGUAUAUAUUCGACUACGUUGACAGACAGGAUAUCAAUUUUAAUUAUUUAUUCUUCAAUUAUUAUAGGCACUUUUUAUUAACUUUUAUAAUAUUGUUUUAUUCCAUAAGGAUAAACGUUUAAUAUCUAAAUGUUUGCGAUUUAAAUCUACAAAUUAUAUAAAUAAUAUUAUUAAUCAGUAUUAUUUAUCUAGAUUUCGUGUAUUACGUAAAUCAAUUGUAAUGCUGUCUCUUCUGAGUAUUAUGAAGACUUAUAAAUUCUAUCUUUGUUUUCUUCGUUAUAUUAAAAGUAUCUUACAAUUGUUUUAUCAAUGAUAUCUUUAUUUUUAAACUAAAUCGAUUACAACUUCGUUGAAAAUACUAAUGAAAAUUCUUAUCUGUAUGCUGUUAUUAAAUAAGAAGAAAUUUUUGAUUAGAAGGGAUUAGAGAAGUGUAUAUAUAUAUAUAUAUAUAUAUAUAUAUAUAUAAGGUAUGAAAGUUUUUUCUUUGCGUAACGCUCAAUGCCUUUUCUCUAUUUGAUAUUAGUACGUUGUUCUAUCGUGUGCGUCAGGUACUCUAUAUAACUAACGAUUAUAAAUGUGGGACAGUUAUAUGUCUGUCAUAUAAUUGUUACGUCUAUACAUCAAAAUAAAUCGAAUAUUAUAAGAUAAAAGUAUUAAACAAUAAAGAUCAUUGUUAUAUUAAAACCUUUAAUAAACUCUCCAAAUAUAAUCUAUAAAUGAUAGACACAAAGAUUUAACAACU
Molecule: long non-coding RNA, 5311 nt
Organism: Vespa velutina
Lineage: Eukaryota; Metazoa; Arthropoda; Insecta; Hymenoptera; Vespidae
Exons: 3
Source: RefSeq, a predicted model, not a curated record